Molecule: ribosomal RNA, 374 nt
Filed under: uncultured bacterium
Lineage: Bacteria
Description: bacterial SSU rRNA
Rfam family: Bacterial small subunit ribosomal RNA
Source: RNAcentral
UAAUACAGAGGUCUCAAGCGUUGUUCGGAUUCAUUGGGCGUAAAGGGUGCGUAGGUGGUGAUGCAAGUCUGGUGUGAAAUCUCGGAGCUCAACUCCAAAUUGCACCGGAUACUGCGUGACUCAGGACUGUAGAGGAGAUCGGAAUUCACGGUGUAGCAGUGAAAUGCGUAGAUAUCGUGAGGAAGACCAGUUGCGAAGGCGGAUCUCUGGGCAGUUCCUGACACUGAGGCACGAAGGCCAGGGGAGCAAACGGGAUUAGAUACCCCGGUAGUCCUGGCAGUAAACGGUGCACGUUUGGUGUGGGCGGGUUCAGACCCCGUCCGUGCCGGAGCUAACGCGUUAAACGUGCCGCCUGGGAAGUACGGUCGCAAGAU